Tachyglossus aculeatus (Australian echidna) is the source of this 287-nucleotide long non-coding RNA. RefSeq lists it as uncharacterized. The transcript is spliced from 3 exons. The record is from RefSeq and is a predicted model, not a curated record. Lineage: Eukaryota; Metazoa; Chordata; Mammalia; Monotremata; Tachyglossidae.
AGGCACCUCCCUCGUCUCUCCCUGGUGAAGAGGAAUCCUCGAGCCCCCUGUAACCUUCAGUGCUUUCCUCACUUGAUCUUCCUUUGAUGGUGUCCGUUAUGCGCUGCCCGUGGGAUAAACACCGCCGUAACGCGACUCCAUUCGAUCGGCCUCAGUCCCUACCUCUUCCGAUAGUCGAGAUGCCGCGCUGCCCGUGAAAACCACUCCACCUCCCACCAGCUGGCUCCACCUCCCUCCCAGGCCAGCUGAUCGUAAGCUCAUCGCGGGAGCGGAACAUGCCUACCGAC